This is a long non-coding RNA of Centrocercus urophasianus (Greater sage-grouse), 407 nucleotides long. RefSeq lists it as uncharacterized. The record is from RefSeq and is a predicted model, not a curated record. The transcript is spliced from 4 exons. NCBI's taxonomy places the organism in Eukaryota, Metazoa, Chordata, Aves, Galliformes, Phasianidae.
GCAUGAAUGGAGGCCAUUGCGACCCAGUGUCGGGAACUUGUGAUUGCGCGCCUGGUUUCAUUGGAGCCGACUGUAGUAAAACUUGCCCAGAAAAUCGAUACGGGAAGGACUGCGCCCUGUUUUGUGCAUGUGGUAAAGGUCAGUGUGACCCACGGACUGGCAGCUGUACCUGUCCUCCUGGCCAAAUGGGACCUGGCUGCCAACAAGUGUGUCCCCAGGGAUGGUUCGGCCCCAGCUGCCGCCUGACGUGCAGCUGUCAGAACGGUGCUAUCUGUGACCACGUGGAUGGCAGCUGCACUUGUGGACUCGGCUGGACAGGAAAAUCGUGUGAGAAAGAAUGUCUUCCUGACAAGUAUGGCCCCAGCUGCAGCUUGGACUGCUCAUGCCAGCACAACGGCACCUGCGAC